Molecule: long non-coding RNA, 312 nt
Organism: Leptopilina heterotoma
Lineage: Eukaryota; Metazoa; Arthropoda; Insecta; Hymenoptera; Figitidae
Exons: 2
Source: RefSeq, a predicted model, not a curated record
UGUUAUGUUAGUUGACACAUAUAAAUUUAUAAAUUUAACACCUUAUCUCUUUGUGAGGGUUGAAGCGAAUUAAAAGAUUUUCAAACAGGUUAUGAUAUUAUUUCCAUAUACCUACGACAAACGAAAUAUGAACCGUUUUCGAGAUAAAUGAUGUCCAUCGCAAAACACGUCGAAAAAAAGGCGUUCCUGGAAUUCGCCUAUAACUUUUUGAUUAUUUAUUGAUGAAAAAAUUUCAACACGUACUUAGAAACAUCUACUAUUCGACGUUGACAAAAUAUUUUGAAUAAAUAUUAUUUAUGGUGUCAAAAAAAA